UAUUUUGAGUAUUGUUAUACGGUGCAAGUUCACGUCAUAGCCUAUAUCCGGUGUUUCAGCUAAAAGUACUGAUCUUUCGAGGUAAGGGAUAUUAUUUUUUUUCGUAAUGAUAUUAUUUCUUCAAUAUCAUUAUGCUGAAAUAUUGAUCUGAAGUUUUUAUCAAAUUUGGAACUUUUGGUGUCGAAGUUACUAUUCACGUAUACGGCACUAUUCACGUA
RNAcentral lists this long non-coding RNA (218 nucleotides) under Panax ginseng (ginseng). RNAcentral's name for it is "long non-coding RNA (PGIN_LNC009022)". The record is from RNAcentral. Lineage: Eukaryota; Viridiplantae; Streptophyta; Magnoliopsida; Apiales; Araliaceae.